AUGAUCAUCCGGCCAGCGACGAUGAAGGAAGGAGGCGUCGGCUACGAGGCGGCUCCAGCUCUUGCACGUCACGGCGCAGCGGAAGAGAGCGGCCUCGCCUUCCACGCGGACGAGGAUCUCGCGGACGGCGUCCUCCGGGAGCGACACCGCCUCCGGCUGCGGCGCCGCCGUCUCGUCCAUCUUUCGAGCUGUAGCGUGAUCGCGUCUGCCGCGAUCGUCGCCUGUCUGAACCCGCCCACCAUAGCGGAGUUGGACGCCUCCCAAGGCCUCCCGCCAUGGAUCACCCUCGACACAAGGGUGUACUUUGCCCAACGCCACAACUCCACCACGGCCGGAGCCGAGACAAGCAAAGGCCACGCCGUUCAGGUCUCCAUCUGCUUCGCGCACCCGCCGGCCCUCUCCUGCGUGUGCAUCCACUGCCCCGGCCUCCAGCACGCCAACUUCGCCGGCGAGCCACGCGUUGUCCGCUCUGAGAAGCAAUUCCUUCUCCUGCACCUGCCGCUCAACUGGUCCACCAAGUUCGUGCGGCGGUCCAGCGAGUACUACAUGUACCAGGCCGUUCCGGGGAGACCACCGACGCUUACCCGGAUUCCGGACCAGCCGGAUCUUAGCUUCCUCGUGCCACGCGAUCUUGGCAUUCACUGUUGUAGCGACGAUGGGGAGUACAUCCUGGCUGGUCUGUGCCCGAGCCGCGAUGAUGCUCAAGGAGGAUAUGAACUUCACCUGUACUCGUCGGUGUCGAGAGCAUGGACCAGGAAACCUGCUUAUCUGGAGAAACCACCGAUUGAGGAGCAGCUUCCUGUUGUGUCGCACAAGGUAAUCCCCCUUGGAGGGAGCCUGCUAGGCUGGGUCGAUCUUUGGAGGGGUAUUAUGGUGUGCGACGUGCUCUCUGAUGAGACUGUGUGCCUAUGGUUCAUCCCACUUCCUGGCCUGAUGCCUGGGAACGAGGCUGAUCGUCAUUUGUGCCCAUGGGUCAUCCAUGACAUCACUUGUACCAAUGGAUUGCUCAAAUUAGUCGAGAUCGAACUUAUUUCUUUAUCCCAAAAAGCAAUCAAGGCAUGA
This 1062-nucleotide ribosomal RNA is filed under the name Triticum aestivum (bread wheat). RNAcentral's name for it is "partial small subunit ribosomal RNA". The record is from RNAcentral. Lineage: Eukaryota; Viridiplantae; Streptophyta; Magnoliopsida; Poales; Poaceae.